UACGUAGGGUGCAAGCGUUGUCCGGAAUUAUUGGGCGUAAAGAGCUCGUAGGCGGUCUGUCGCGUCGGCUGUGAAAACCUGAGGCUCAACCUCGGGCCUGCAGUCGAUACGGGCAGACUAGAGUUCGGUAGGGGAGACUGGAAUUCCUGGUGUAGCGGUGGAAUGCGCAGAUAUCAGGAGGAACACCGGUGGCGAAGGCGGGUCUCUGGGCCGAAACUGACGCUGAGGAGCGAAAGCGUGGGGAGCAAACAGG
RNAcentral lists this ribosomal RNA (253 nucleotides) under uncultured bacterium. RNAcentral's name for it is "partial 16S ribosomal RNA". It matches the Rfam family "Bacterial small subunit ribosomal RNA", at positions 524 to 776 of the family's 1533-position model. The record is from RNAcentral.